Molecule: ribosomal RNA, 513 nt
Filed under: Acanthogobius lactipes
Lineage: Eukaryota; Metazoa; Chordata; Actinopteri; Gobiiformes; Gobiidae
Description: partial 12S rRNA
Rfam family: Bacterial small subunit ribosomal RNA
Source: RNAcentral
GGAUAGAGGAGCAGGCAUAAGGCACGACCUACGUCAGCCAGCAAAGCCUUGUUUAGCCACACCCCCAAGGGAACUCAGCAGUAAUAGACAUUAAGCAAUAAGUGUAAACUUGACUUAAUUAAAACCAAUCAGGGCCGGUGAAACUCGUGCCAGCCGCCGCGGUUAUACGAGAGGCCCAAGUUGAUAACCGCCGGCGUAAAAGGUGGAACUACGAAGAAGAAAAAUAAAGCCGAAUGCCCUCAAGACUGUUAUAAGUUUUCGAGGAAUAGAAGCCUACCAACGAAAGUGGCUUUAAAAACUGUAUAAUCCACGAAAGCUAGGGAACAAACUGGGAUUAGAUACCCCACUAUGCCUAGCCAUAAACACAAGUGAAAUCUUCACAACCCCGCUUGCCAGGGAAUUACGAGCGUGAGCUUAAAACCCAAAGGACUUGGCGGUGCUUUAGACCCCCCUAGAGGAGCCUGUUCUAUAACCGAUAAUCCCCGUUAAACCUCACCCUCUCUUGUUCUCCCC